AGAGCGAACGCUGGCGGCGUACUUAGCACAUGCAAGUCGAACGGGGAUCGUCGGGUUAGCAAUAAUUCGGCGGUCCUAGUGGCGUACGGGUGAGUAACACGUGGGCAACUUGCCCUUGAGACCGGGAUACCCUCUCGAAAGGGAGGCUAAUACUGGAUACGUUCUUCGGAUCGCAAGAUCUGGAGAGGAAAGGUGGCGCAAGCUACCGCUCUUGGAGAGGCUCGCGGCCUAUCAGCUAGUUGGUGAGGUAAUGGCUCACCAAGGCUAUGACGGGUAGCUGGUCUGAGAGGACGACCAGCCACACGGGAACUGAGACACGGUCCCGACUCCUACGGGAGGCAGCAGUGGGAAUUUCCGCAAUGGGCGAAAGCCUGACGGAGUGACGCCGCGUGGGGGACGAAGGCCUUCGGGUUGUAAACCCCUGUCAGAGGAAAGAAGGUGUCGGCGUGAUAACCGCGGCACUGACGUACUUCAGAGAAGCCCGGCCAACUCUAGUGCCAGCAGCCGA
This 508-nucleotide ribosomal RNA is filed under the name uncultured soil bacterium. RNAcentral describes it as "bacterial SSU rRNA". It matches the Rfam family "Bacterial small subunit ribosomal RNA", at positions 26 to 518 of the family's 1533-position model. The record is from RNAcentral.